Molecule: ribosomal RNA, 1687 nt
Filed under: marine metagenome
Description: bacterial LSU rRNA
Rfam family: Bacterial large subunit ribosomal RNA
Source: RNAcentral
GGAGGUUUGCUUAGAAGCAGCAAUCCUUUAAAGAGUGCGUAAUAGCUCACUGAUCGAGUAAGCCUGCGCCGAAAAUGAACGGGACUUAAGUAAUUUGCCGAAACUGUGCGAUAUUUAUAUCGGUAGGGGAGCGUUCUGUUGUAGGUUGAAGUAUUAACGAAAGUGGAUAUGGACGAAGCAGAAGUGAGAAUGUCGGCUUGAGUAACGAAAAUAUAGGUGAGAAUCCUAUACCCCGAAAACCCAAGGUUUCCUCCGGAAGGCUCGUCCGCGGAGGGUAAGUCAGGACCUAAGGCGAGGCUGAAAAGCGUAGUCGAUGGACAACGGGUUAAUAUUCCCGUACCAUUUUUUAUUGACAACGAGGGACGGAGAAGGCUAGGCUGGCCGGAUGUUGGUUACCGGUUUAAACGUUCAAGAUGUUGAGAAGUGGUGAAAACACUUUGAGUUGAGGCGUGAAUAGGAGAUACUACGGUAUCGAAGCAGCUGAUGUCAGACUUCCAAGAAAAGCUCGCACUGUCAUAAAUAAAAAAUGCCUGUACCAUAACCGACACAGGUGGGUAGGUAGAGUAUACUAAGGGGCGCGAGAUAACUCUCUCUAAGGAACUCGGCAAAAUAACUCCGUAACUUCGGGAGAAGGAGUACCCUUUUGGGUUGCAAUAACAAGAUCCAAGCAACUGUUUAUCAAAAACACAGGUCUCCGCUAAGUCGUAAGACGAUGUAUGGGGGCUGACGCCUGCCCAGUGCCAGAAGGUUAAAGAAGUUGGUUAGCAUUAGCGAAGCUGAUAACUGAAGCCCUGGUGAACGGCGGCCGUAACUAUAACGGUCCUAAGGUAGCGAAAUUCCUUGUCGGGUAAGUUCCGACCCGCACGAAAGGCGUAAUGAUUUGGAUACUGUCUCGGAGAGAGGCUCGGUGAAAUAGACUUGUCUGUGAAGAUGCGGACUACCUGCACCAGGACAGAAAGACCCUAUGAAGCUUUACUGUAGCUUGAAAUUGAAAUUGGACUUUACAUGCGCAGAAUAGGUGGGAGGCUUUGAUAAUAAUCUUGCGGGAUUAUUUGAGCUAUCAGUGAGAUACCACUCUUGUAAUGUUAGAUUUCUAACUUUGUACCAUUAUCUGGUCAAAGAACAGUUUCAGGUGGGCAGUUUGACUGGGGCGGUCGCCUCCUAAAUGGUAACGGAGGCGUACAAAGGUUUCCUCAGGUCGGUCAGAAAUCGAUCGUAGAGUGUAAAGGCAUAAGGAAGCUUGACUGUGAGACCUACAAGUCAAACAGGGACGAAAGUCGGUCUUAGUGAUCUGACGGUACUGAGUGGAAAGGCCGUCACUCAACGGAUAAAAGUUACUCUAGGGAUAACAGGCUGAUCUCCCCCAAGAGUUCACAUCGACGGGGAGGUUUGGCACCUCGAUGUCGGCUCAUCGCAUCCUGGGGCGGUAGUACGUCCCAAGGGUUGGGCUGUUCGCCCAUGAAAGCGGUACGCGAGCUGGGUUCAGAACGUCGUGAGACAGUUCGGUCCAUAUCCGGUGUAGGCGUUAGAAUAUUGAGAGGAGCCUUCUUUAGUACGAGAGGACCGAGAAGGACAUACCUAUGGUGUACCAGUUAUCGUGCCAACGGUAAACGCUGGGUAGCUAUGUAUGGAGUGGAUAACCGCUGAAAGCAUCUAAGUGGGAAGCCCACCUCAAGAUGAGUAUUCU